Molecule: ribosomal RNA, 301 nt
Filed under: uncultured bacterium
Lineage: Bacteria
Description: partial 16S ribosomal RNA
Rfam family: Bacterial small subunit ribosomal RNA
Source: RNAcentral
CAGUAGCCGCGGUAAUACGGAGGGUGCGAGCGUUAAUCGGAAUUACUGGGCGUAAAGCGUGCGUAGGCGGCUAGUUGAGUCGGAUGUGAAAUCCCCGAGCUUAACUUGGGAAUUGCAUUCGAUACUGGUUAGCUAGAGUGUGUGAGAGGAUGGUAGAAUUCCAGGUGUAGCGGUGAAAUGCGUAGAGAUCUGGAGGAAUAUCGAUGGCGAAGGCAGCCAUCUGGCCUAACACUGACGCUGAGGUACGAAAGCAUGGGGAGCAAACAGGAUUAGAUACCCCCGUAGUCCCUGUCUCUUAUAC